CAAGCCUGAGUUCCCAUUUCUUUAAUCCGAUCACUUGCUCAUUCUCCCUCCAAAAGCCCUCACGAUAAAAGCUCACGAAGAUGCUGCCCUUCUGCCAACCAAAGCUCGAACAAAGAUGGUGUGCAGGUGCAGAAGGGAGAUGCCAAAGCAAGUCGGGAGCCCAACCUGUGCAUGAGAUUCCCAUUAUUAGAUGACAAAGACAAGCUACGGAAAGAGAACUACAGCAAGAUGCCCCCUCGCUUUCCCCAAUAUAUAAAUCCAAAUUCACGUGACUACGAGCUCGACAACCGAGAGAUGCAUUUCUCCUCCGGCCUCCUCCAUGGCAGCCCGCAUCAGGCUACAGUUGGCGUUAGAUCAUUACCUGUCGCCAUCUUCCCGAUUUGGAGCCUAUUUAAGGCCAUCAUCGCCGCACCUUAUUCUUCGGACACAAGCUCUCGGAGGAGCACUUGGAGUGGUGGGUGAAGGUAUAUGGGAAGUUCAAGGAGCUCUCUUCAGUCCAAUCUACGAGGGGAAGAGGGCACAUCCGGCUGCUGGUUCAUGCAUACCUUUGGGGUGCAACUCCCUGCACCACAGUGGUGAGCAUGCGCCAGGAGACGACCUUCCUUCCUUCUUCUCAUGCUUGGAUUGAAGGGAGCUCCUCUCUCUCUCUCUCUCUCUUUCUCUCUCUCUCUCUCUCUCUCUCUCUAGAUAGAGUUCAUGCUACUGAACUAUGCUGCUAUCUUUCAGCAUCAUCUCACAUCAUAAAGAUUGUCGGGAAAGAUAUCUGAAGAAAUAUGUUGUAAACACUCGAACAUAAUCACGUAUACAAAGUAGAAGUUCAACAAAGAUAGAUGAAGAGUAAACUUACACUUCAAUUGAUGGAAACAUUGGCAAUAGCAACUGUUCUACUAGUUUCAAAGCUAAUACAUGUACACGUUAAUGUUUUGAGAAGAAUGUUAUCGGAUAUAAAUGAUGCACGUACAGCUACAGUAGUUGCUGGCUUUGGCACCAUAAUUUGACAGGUCUCGUGAAGUAGAAGAAAUUGCCUUCGUCCAUUUAUUUGCUGCAGUUUCAACCACAUCAACGACUCAACUAUUUCUGCAUUAGGGUUCUUGCGUCAUCCUGCAUGCUGCAGAAGAGCCGGAAGCCAGCCACCAACUCAAGCAAGAGGACCUAAAGAUGGAGCUUCCAUCUAUCAUUUGCUUUUGAUCCAGUUGAAGUGUACAGAAUAACUCUACGUGUAUAUAAGCUAUGAUUUGGUGAUGCAUACUACCAUAUUACUGUUAAUAUCAUCCCAUCUCCUCACUAAUUUUGAUAUUUAAUCAUAUUCAUCUGUUAGUUUUGGAUGCUAAAUAUACACACAUAUAUAUAUACUACUAGUGGGUCCCAUUAUUUUCUCCAAUUACAAAACAGGUAAUCGCGGCGGUUGAGUCUUACACGUGGAGAUCUUAUUAGGUUCAAAAAGAAACCACCUGCUAUAAUCUAUGGUUAUUAUUCCGUUGUUUACAACGAUCAUUAGAUUAAAUGAUAUUAAUUAGUUAAGCAUUAGCUACUUAAUUCUCGAAUUAUCUAACAUAAUAAUAAUUUAUACUGCUCCCCUCCGUAUAAAACGAGGGCUCGGUGUCUCUCUCUCUCUCUCUCUCUCUCUCUUUCUUCUUGUGGCAUUGAGUCCGCCGUUUCUUUAUCCCUUCUCGGUCGUGGCCUUGAGGCGGCGCCGAUCUCCUGGAGAACCGAGUCACAGCGACGAUAGGCAUGGAUCCCGACCAGGCCUUCCCCGGCGGCGACCACAGCUUGGAGUUCGCAUUCGACUCCAGCAACGUCUCCGGCCGCGUGCUUCAGAUCGAGAUCAUGGCGGGGCCGGCCACCUCGAACGGAGGGACGGCGGCGCGAAGGAGAAAGGAAUACAAAAUACAAGGCACUCUGUCCAUUGCCCAUGGCUUUUCCCAGUGAAACGACGUGAAAAGGAUGGAAACAUUCAGAGACUGUCUUCUCUGCUCCCCCCUCUGAUCCAUCAAAGCAAGCGCAAAGGUCUCCUUCAACACCAAUCAAGAAGAGAGAUGAUGCAUUACAAACAGAUAUGGGUGAUGUGUACUUGCAAGUGAUGUACGGAUACUGCUUGAAUGGAAGUUUUCCUUGAUUUUUC
Long non-coding RNA from Musa acuminata AAA Group (dessert banana), 2122 nucleotides. RefSeq lists it as uncharacterized. The transcript has 2 exons. Lineage: Eukaryota; Viridiplantae; Streptophyta; Magnoliopsida; Zingiberales; Musaceae. The record is from RefSeq and is a predicted model, not a curated record.